CGUGGGUAACCUGCCUUAUAGUGGGGGAUAGCCUUUCGAAAGGAAGAUUAAUACCGCAUAAGAUUGCAGUAUCGCAUGAUAUAGCAAUUAAAGGAGCAAUUCGCUAUAAGAUGGACCCGCGUCGCAUUAGCUAGUUGGUGAGGUAAUGGCUCACCAAGGCGACGAUGCGUAGCCGACCUGAGAGGGUGAUCGGCCACAUUGGGACUGAGACACGGCCCAGACUCCUACGGGAGGCAGCAUG
This 241-nucleotide ribosomal RNA is filed under the name uncultured bacterium. Its description in RNAcentral is "partial 16S ribosomal RNA". It matches the Rfam family "Bacterial small subunit ribosomal RNA", at positions 116 to 353 of the family's 1533-position model. The record is from RNAcentral.